UACAGAGAGUGCAAGCGUUAAUCGGAAUUACUGGGCGUAAAGCGCACGUAGGUGGAUGUUUAAGUCGGAUGUGAAAGCCCUGGGCUUAACCUAGGAAUUGCAUUCGAUACUACUCAUCUAGAGUAUGGUAGAGGGAAGUGGAAUUUCCGGUGUAGCGGUGAAAUGCGUAGAUAUCGGAAGGAACACCAGUGGCGAAGGCGGCUUCCUGGACCAAUACUGACACUCAGGUGCGAAAGCGUGGGGAGCAAACAGG
This 253-nucleotide ribosomal RNA is filed under the name uncultured bacterium. RNAcentral's name for it is "partial 16S ribosomal RNA". It matches the Rfam family "Bacterial small subunit ribosomal RNA", at positions 524 to 776 of the family's 1533-position model. The record is from RNAcentral.